RNAcentral lists this ribosomal RNA (691 nucleotides) under Salmonella enterica subsp. enterica. RNAcentral's name for it is "partial 23S ribosomal RNA". It matches the Rfam family "Bacterial large subunit ribosomal RNA", at positions 2251 to 2925 of the family's 2925-position model. The record is from RNAcentral. RNAcentral also lists the same sequence under 1 other name. Lineage: Bacteria; Pseudomonadati; Pseudomonadota; Gammaproteobacteria; Enterobacterales; Enterobacteriaceae.
ACAGUGUCUGGUGGGUAGUUUGACUGGGGCGGUCUCCUCCUAAAGAGUAACGGAGGAGCACGAAGGUUGGCUAAUCCUGGUCGGACAUCAGGAGGUUAGUGCAAUGGCAUAAGCCAGCUUGACUGCGAGCGUGACGGCGCGAGCAGGUGCGAAAGCAGGUCAUAGUGAUCCGGUGGUUCUGAAUGGAAGGGCCAUCGCUCAACGGAUAAAAGGUACUCCGGGGAUAACAGGCUGAUACCGCCCAAGAGUUCAUAUCGACGGCGGUGUUUGGCACCUCGAUGUCGGCUCAUCACAUCCUGGGGCUGAAGUAGGUCCCAAGGGUAUGGCUGUUCGCCAUUUAAAGUGGUACGCGAGCUGGGUUUAGAACGUCGUGAGACAGUUCGGUCCCUAUCUGCCGUGGGCGCUGGAGAACUGAGGGGGGCUGCUCCUAGUACGAGAGGACCGGAGUGGACGCAUCACUGGUGUUCGGGUUGUCAUGCCAAUGGCACUGCCCGGUAGCUAAAUGCGGAAGAGAUAAGUGCUGAAAGCAUCUAAGCACGAAACUUGCCCCGAGAUGAGUUCUCCCUGAGACUUAGAGUCUCCUGAAGGAACGUUGAAGACGACGACGUUGAUAGGCCGGGUGUGUAAGCGCAGCGAUGCGUUGAGCUAACCGGUACUAAUGAACCGUGAGGCUUAACCUUACAACGCCGAA